RNAcentral lists this ribosomal RNA (504 nucleotides) under uncultured bacterium. Its description in RNAcentral is "bacterial SSU rRNA". It matches the Rfam family "Bacterial small subunit ribosomal RNA", at positions 29 to 523 of the family's 1533-position model. The record is from RNAcentral.
AGUGAACGCUGGCGGCAGGCCUAAUACAUGCAAGUCGAACGGCAGCACAGCAGAGCUUGCUCUGUGGGUGGCGAGUGGCGGACGGGUGAGGAAUACGUGGGAAUCUGCCCAGUCGUGGGGGAUAACGUAGGGAAACUUACGCUAAUACCGCAUGCGCCCUUCGGGGGAAAGCCGGGGACCUUCGGGCCUGGCGCGAUUGGAUGAGCCCACGUCGGAUUAGCUAGUUGGCGGGGUAAAGGCCCACCAAGGCGACGAUCCGUAGCUGGUCUGAGAGGAUGAUCAGCCACACUGGAACUGAGACACGGUCCAGACUCCUACGGGAGGCAGCAGUAGGGAAUAUUGGACAAUGGGCGCAAGCCUGAUCCAGCCAUGCCGCGUGAGUGAAGAAGGCCCUCGGGUUGUAAAGCUCUUUGUCCGGAAAGAAAGCGCCGGGUUAAUACCCUGGUGUCCUGACGGUACCGGAAGAAUAAGCACCGGCUAACUUCGUGCCAGCAGCCGCGGUAA